CAGCCGCCGCGGGAAUACAGAGGAUGCAAGCGUUAUCCGGAAUGAUUGGGCGUAAAGCGUCUGUAGGUGGCUUUUCAAGUCCGCCGCCAAAUCCCAGGGCUCAACCUGGGAACUGCAUUUGUGACUGUAGAGCUGGAGUGCGGCAGAGGGGGAUGGAAUUCCGCGUGUAGCAGUGAAAUGCGUAGAUAUGCGGAGGAACACCGAUGGCGAAGGCAAUCCCCUGGGCCUGCACUGACGCUCAUGCACGAAAGCGUGGGGAGCAAACAGGAUUAGAUACCCCAGUAGUCCCUGUCUCUUAUCC
This 301-nucleotide ribosomal RNA is filed under the name uncultured bacterium. RNAcentral describes it as "partial 16S ribosomal RNA". It matches the Rfam family "Bacterial small subunit ribosomal RNA", at positions 509 to 809 of the family's 1533-position model. The record is from RNAcentral.